This 291-nucleotide unclassified non-coding RNA is filed under the name plant metagenome. RNAcentral describes it as "partial contains small subunit ribosomal RNA, internal transcribed spacer 1, and 5.8S ribosomal RNA". The stretch from base 1 to 54 matches the Rfam family "Eukaryotic small subunit ribosomal RNA", at positions 1778 to 1831 of the family's 1831-position model. The record is from RNAcentral.
GGAAGUAAAAGUCGUAACAAGAUUUCCGUAGGUGAACCUGCGGAAGGGUCAUUAACGUAUCUCUGACGGCGAGGGUGCGCCCCGCUCCGGACCGAAAGGCCGUGCAGCGGGCGAGCCCGAGCCGCUCAACCUUUGCAAACCCACUGUGCACUUUUGUCGGCAAAGGGCCCUCAGGGCCCCGAGCCGGACCACAAACACUACUUUACUGAACGAUCUGUGGCCGCUGUGCCGCCUAAACUUUAACAACUUUCAACAACGGAUCUCCUGGCUCUCGCAUCGAUGGAACGCAGC